UACGAGGGGGGGCAAGCGUUGUUCGGAAUUAUUGGGCGUAAAGGGUGCGUAGGCGGCGCGGUAUGUCUCUUGUGAAAUCUCCAGGCUCAACUUGGAGUCUGCAAGGGAAACUGCCGUGCUUGAGUACUGGAGAGGUGAGUGGAAUUCCCGGUGUAGCGGUGAAAUGCGUAGAUAUCGGGGAGGAACACCUGUGGCGAAAGCGGCUCACUGGACAGUAACUGACGCUGA
This 228-nucleotide ribosomal RNA is filed under the name uncultured bacterium. RNAcentral describes it as "partial 16S ribosomal RNA". It matches the Rfam family "Bacterial small subunit ribosomal RNA", at positions 524 to 749 of the family's 1533-position model. The record is from RNAcentral.